This 75-nucleotide transfer RNA is filed under the name Candidatus Terrybacteria bacterium RIFCSPHIGHO2_01_FULL_58_15. RNAcentral's name for it is "tRNA-Gly". It matches the Rfam family "tRNA". Rfam says of the family: Transfer RNA (tRNA) molecules are approximately 80 nucleotides in length. Their secondary structure includes four short double-helical elements and three loops (D, anti-codon, and T loops). RNAcentral also lists the same sequence under 1 other name. Lineage: Bacteria; Candidatus Terryibacteriota. The record is from RNAcentral.
GCGGGUGUCGUAUAGUGGUUAUUACACCGCCUUGCCAAGGCGGAGAUGGCGGUUCGAUUCCGCUCACCCGCUCCC